CUAGCAGCCCGAUUCUUAGCC
RNAcentral lists this non-coding RNA (21 nucleotides) under Arabidopsis thaliana (thale cress). The record is from RNAcentral. Lineage: Eukaryota; Viridiplantae; Streptophyta; Magnoliopsida; Brassicales; Brassicaceae.